ACGGAAAAAACUACAAAACAACAGAAAAAAUAGAAAAUCAUUUUUUAUUCUGAACUUUUUUAAUUAAAAGUUAUAAAAUAAUUCAGAAAACUGGCUGAAAUUUACAGAACAGAAAAAAAACCUAUUCAAAUAUUAUCUAAUUUUCUGAC
Molecule: non-coding RNA, 149 nt
Organism: Caenorhabditis elegans
Lineage: Eukaryota; Metazoa; Nematoda; Chromadorea; Rhabditida; Rhabditidae
Source: Ensembl